This 468-nucleotide ribosomal RNA is filed under the name uncultured bacterium. Its description in RNAcentral is "partial 16S ribosomal RNA". It matches the Rfam family "Bacterial small subunit ribosomal RNA", at positions 28 to 507 of the family's 1533-position model. The record is from RNAcentral.
GACGAACGCUGGCGGCGUGCUUAACACAUGCAAGUCGAACGGAAAGGCCCUGCUUUUGUGGGGUGCUCGAGUGGCGAACGGGUGAGUAACACGUGAGUAACCUGCCCUUGACUUUGGGAUAACUUCAGGAAACUGGGGCUAAUACCGGAUAGGAGCUCCUGCUGCAUGGUGGGGGUUGGAAAGUUUCGGCGGUUGGGGAUGGACUCGCGGCUUAUCAGCUUGUUGGUGGGGUAGUGGCUUACCAAGGCUUUGACGGGUAGCCGGCCUGAGAGGGUGACCGGCCACAUUGGGACUGGAAUACGGCCCAGACUACUACGGGAGGCAGCAGUGGGGAAGGUAGUACAAGGGGCGGAAGCCUGAUGCAGCAAAGCCGCGUGGGGGAUGACGGCCUUCGGGUAGGAAUCCGCAUUCGCCUGUGACGGAGCGUGAGUGACGGUAAUGGGUAAAGAAGCACCGGCUAACUACGUG